GGAGGGGUGCUUGGAGAGGUUGAUCAGCCAGGUCUCGAAAACCUUGGGAGUCGCAAGACUCACGCGAGUUCGAAUCUCGCCCCCUCCG
This 88-nucleotide transfer RNA is filed under the name Candidatus Gottesmanbacteria bacterium. Its description in RNAcentral is "tRNA-Ser". It matches the Rfam family "tRNA". From Rfam's summary of the family: Transfer RNA (tRNA) molecules are approximately 80 nucleotides in length. Their secondary structure includes four short double-helical elements and three loops (D, anti-codon, and T loops). Further hydrogen bonds mediate the characteristic L-shaped molecular structure. tRNAs have two regions of fundamental functional importance: the anti-codon, which is responsible for specific mRNA codon recognition, and the 3' end, to which the tRNAs corresponding amino acid is attached (by aminoacyl-tRNA synthetases). tRNAs cope with the degeneracy of the genetic code in two manners: having more than one tRNA (with a specific anti-codon) for a particular amino acid; and 'wobble' base-pairing, i.e. permitting non-standard base-pairing at the 3rd anti-codon position. The record is from RNAcentral. Lineage: Bacteria; Candidatus Gottesmaniibacteriota.